Molecule: ribosomal RNA, 495 nt
Filed under: uncultured bacterium
Lineage: Bacteria
Description: partial 16S ribosomal RNA
Rfam family: Bacterial small subunit ribosomal RNA
Source: RNAcentral
GAUGAACGCUGGCGGCGUGCUUAACACAUGCAAGUCGAGCGAAGCGAUUUUAAGGAAGCCUUCGGGUGGAAUUAAAAUUGACUUAGCGGCGGACGGGUGAGUAACGCGUGGGUAACCUGCCUCAUACAGGGGGAUAACAGUUAGAAAUGACUGCUAAUACCGCAUAAGCGCACAGUGCUGCAUAGCACAGUGUGAAAAACUCCGGUGGUAUGAGAUGGACCCGCGUCUGAUUAGGUAGUUGGUGAGGUAACGGCCCACCAAGCCGAGGAUCAGUAGCCGACCUUGGAGGGUGACCGGCCUCAUUGGGACUGAGACACGGCCCAAACUCCUACGGGAGGCAGCAGUGGGGAAUAUUGGACAAUGGGGGAAACCCUGAUCCAGCGACGCCGCGUGACUGAAGAAGUAUUUCGGUAUGUAAAGGUCUAUCAGCAGGGAAGAAAAUGACGGUACCUGACUAAGAAGCCCCGGCUAACUACGUGCCAGCCGCCGCGGUAA